RNAcentral lists this ribosomal RNA (221 nucleotides) under uncultured bacterium. RNAcentral describes it as "partial 16S ribosomal RNA". It matches the Rfam family "Bacterial small subunit ribosomal RNA", at positions 114 to 334 of the family's 1533-position model. The record is from RNAcentral.
CGCGUAAAGAACUUGCCUCACAGCUAGGGACAACAUUUGGAAACGAAUGCUAAUACCUAAUAUUAUGAUAAUAGAGCAUCCUAUAAUUAUGAAAGCUAUAAGCGCUGUGAGAGAGCUUUGCGUCCCAUUAGCUAGUUGGAGAGGUAACGGCUCACCAAGGCGAUGAUGGGUAGCCGGCCUGAGAGGGUGAUCGGCCACAAGGGGACUGAGACACGGCCCUU